Molecule: ribosomal RNA, 253 nt
Filed under: uncultured Pseudomonas sp.
Lineage: Bacteria; Pseudomonadati; Pseudomonadota; Gammaproteobacteria; Pseudomonadales; Pseudomonadaceae
Description: partial 16S ribosomal RNA
Rfam family: Bacterial small subunit ribosomal RNA
Source: RNAcentral
CGUGGGCACUCUAAGGAGACUGCCGGUGACAAACCGGAGGAAGGUGGGGAUGACGUCAAGUCAUCAUGGCCCUUACGGCCUGGGCUACACACGUGCUACAAUGGUCGGUACAAAGGGUUGCCAAGCCGCGAGGUGGAGCUAAUCCCAUAAAACCGAUCGUAGUCCGGAUCGCAGUCUGCAACUCGACUGCGUGAAGUCGGAAUCGCUAGUAAUCGUGAAUCAGAAUGUCACGGUGAAUACGUUCCCGGGCCUU